Molecule: transfer RNA, 90 nt
Filed under: Emcibacter sp.
Lineage: Bacteria; Pseudomonadati; Pseudomonadota; Alphaproteobacteria; Emcibacterales; Emcibacteraceae
Description: tRNA-Ser
Rfam family: tRNA
About the family: Transfer RNA (tRNA) molecules are approximately 80 nucleotides in length. Their secondary structure includes four short double-helical elements and three loops (D, anti-codon, and T loops).
Source: RNAcentral
GGAGAGGUGGCCGAGUGGUUUAAGGCGCACGCUUGGAAAGCGUGUAUGCUAGCAAUAGUAUCGAGGGUUCGAAUCCCUUCCUCUCCUCCA